Molecule: ribosomal RNA, 465 nt
Filed under: uncultured bacterium
Lineage: Bacteria
Description: partial 16S ribosomal RNA
Rfam family: Bacterial small subunit ribosomal RNA
Source: RNAcentral
CCUACGGGUGGCAGCAGUAGGGAAUCUUUGGCAAUGGACGAAAGUCUGACGGAGCAACGCCGCGUGAGUGAUGAAGGUCUUCGGAUCGUAAAACUCUGUUGGUAGAGAAGAACGUUGGUGAGAGUGGAAAGCUCAUCAAGUGACGGUAACUACCCAGAAAGGGACGGUUAACUACGUGCAUGCGACCCCGGUAAACCGUGGGUCCCGACCGUUGUCCGGAUUUUUUGGGAGAAAAGCGUAGUCCGGUGGUUUAUUAGGUCUGGUGAAAAAGGCAGUGGCUAAACCAUUGUAUGCAUUGGAAACUGGGAGACUUGAGUGCGAGAGAGGAGAGUGGAAUUCCAGGGGUAGGGGUGAAAUGCGUAGAUAUAUGGAGGAACACCGGUGGCGAAGGCGACUCUCUGGCCUGUAACUGACACUGAGGAUCGAAAGCGUGGGGAGCAAACAGGAUUAGAUACCCGAGUAGUC